CGCCGCGUGAGCGAAGAAGGCCUUCGGGUCGUAAAGCUCUGUGUUAGGGAAGAACAAGUACGAGAGUAACUGCUCGUACCUUGACGGUACCUAACCAGAAAGCCACGGCUAACUACGUGCCAGCAGCCGCGGUAAUACGUAGGUGGCAAGCGUUGUCCGGAAUUAUUGGGCGUAAAGCGCGCGCAGGCGGUCCUUUAAGUCUGAUGUGGAAGCCCACGGCUCAACCGUGAGGGUCAUUGGAAACUGGGGGACUUGAGUGCAGAAGAGGAGAGUGGAAUUCCACGUGUAGCGGUGAAAUGCGUAGAGAUGUGGAGGAACACCAGUGGCGAAGGCGACUCUCUGGUCUGUAACUGACGCUGAGGCGCGAAAGCGUGGGGAGCAAACAGGAUUAGAUACCCUGGUAGUCCACGCCGUAAACGAUGAGUGCUAAGUGUUAGAGGGUUUCCGCCCUUUAGUGCUGCAGCUAACGCAUUAAGCACUCCGCCUGGGGAGUACGGCCGCAAGGCUG
Molecule: ribosomal RNA, 508 nt
Filed under: uncultured Bacillota bacterium
Lineage: Bacteria; Bacillati; Bacillota
Description: bacterial SSU rRNA
Rfam family: Bacterial small subunit ribosomal RNA
Source: RNAcentral